UUUUAUAUAGUUUAAAAAAACAUUAUAUUUUCAAUAUAAAAAUAAUAUCUCUAUAUUUAUAAAUA
RNAcentral lists this transfer RNA (65 nucleotides) under Xorides funiuensis. RNAcentral describes it as "tRNA-Glu". Lineage: Eukaryota; Metazoa; Arthropoda; Insecta; Hymenoptera; Ichneumonidae. The record is from RNAcentral.